This 251-nucleotide ribosomal RNA is filed under the name uncultured prokaryote. RNAcentral describes it as "partial 16S rRNA". It matches the Rfam family "Bacterial small subunit ribosomal RNA", at positions 525 to 775 of the family's 1533-position model. The record is from RNAcentral.
ACGGGGGGGGCAAGCGUUGUCCGGAAUUAUUGGGCGUAAAGGGCGCGUAGGCGGGACAGCAAGUCUGGGGUGCAAUCUUACGGCUUAACUGUAAGCUUGCAUUUGAAACUAUUCAGCUUGAGUUCGGGAGAGGAAAGUGGAAUUCCUGGUGUAGAGGUGAAAUGCGUAGAUAUCAGGAGGAACACCGGUGGCGAAGGCGACUUUCUGGUCCUAUACUGACGCUGAGACGCGAGAGUGUGGGUAGCAAACAG